GUCCAGCUGACGAGUCCUAAAUAAGACGAGACUCACAUCCUGGAU
Non-coding RNA from Schistosoma margrebowiei, 45 nucleotides. The record is from Rfam. Lineage: Eukaryota; Metazoa; Platyhelminthes; Trematoda; Strigeidida; Schistosomatidae.